This 371-nucleotide ribosomal RNA is filed under the name uncultured organism. RNAcentral describes it as "partial 16S ribosomal RNA". It matches the Rfam family "Bacterial small subunit ribosomal RNA", at positions 527 to 896 of the family's 1533-position model. The record is from RNAcentral.
GUAGGUGGCAAGCGUUGUCCGGAAUUAUUGGGCGUAAAGCGCGCGCAGGCGGUUCUUUAAGUCUGAUGUGAAAGCCCACGGCUCAACCGUGGAGGGUCAUUGGAAACUGGAGAACUUGAGUACAGAAGAGGAAAGCGGAAUUCCACGUGUAGCGGUGAAAUGCGUAGAGAUGUGGAGGAACACCAGUGGCGAAGGCGGCUUUCUGGUCUGUAACUGACGCUGAGGCGCGAAAGCGUGGGGGAGCAAACAGGAUUAGAUACCCUGGUAGUCCGCGCCGUAAACGAUGAGUGCUAAGUGUUAGGGGGUUUCCGCCCCUUAGUGCUGCAGCUAACGCAUUAAGCACUCCGCCUGGGAGUACGGCCGCAAGGCUG